Molecule: long non-coding RNA, 453 nt
Organism: Corticium candelabrum
Lineage: Eukaryota; Metazoa; Porifera; Homoscleromorpha; Homosclerophorida; Plakinidae
Exons: 3
Source: RefSeq, a predicted model, not a curated record
AACAGCUUGGAUGCGGGGUGUAUCCUAAUUGUGGACAUUAUUUCUCCGUUACAGAAAGCGACUGAGCCUGAGUAACUGCUGGACUAGAUACCUGAAGGGUUGCCUCACAAGCUGAAACAAAGUGUUCUGUUUACGAUACAAUGCAGGAGACGAUCGAUCAUGUUUAGAUGAACGUCUCAACUGUAAACUGUGGUUCUAGCAUCUUUUUGCGUUGCUGGUAGAGCUGAUUAUUGAUAUCAGACAAGAUCUAGUAGCAGUGAAGACAGUCAAAUUCUGACUGGAUUACGAGUGUCGCUGAUAUUGACAUUCCACCUACUUUGUUCGUUCUCAUUUCAUACCCUAUUGUGGCCAGAUGUAGUUGCAGUCAAAACAGCUAGAUUGUCAGUGGAUUACUGAUGUCUAGAUCUAGUAUGAGUGAAGAUAUUCACGUGUUUACUGAACUGGAAUUACACG